AUACGUAGGGGGCGAGCGUUAUCCGGAUUUAUUGGGCGUAAAGCGUGUGUAGGCGGUUUGUUAAGUUUAAGAUUAAAGCCCGAGGCUUAACCUCGGUUCGUCUUAAAAACUGGAAGACUUGAGUGCCGGAGGGGUAAGUGGAAUUCCCAGUGUAGCGGUGAAAUGCGGAGAGAUUGGGAGGAACAUCAGUGGCGAAGGUGACUUACUGGACGGUAACUGACGCGGAGGCGCGAAAGUAUGGGGAGAAAACAGGAUGAGAUGCCGUGGUAGUCCACGCCGUAAACGAUGAAUACUAGGUGUAGGGGGUAUCGACUCCCUCUGUGCCGCAGUUAACACAAUAAGUAUUCCGCCUGGGGAGUACGGCCGCAAGGUUGAAACUCAAAUGAAUUGACGGGG
RNAcentral lists this ribosomal RNA (396 nucleotides) under uncultured bacterium. RNAcentral's name for it is "partial 16S ribosomal RNA". It matches the Rfam family "Bacterial small subunit ribosomal RNA", at positions 523 to 918 of the family's 1533-position model. The record is from RNAcentral.